RNAcentral lists this ribosomal RNA (504 nucleotides) under Triticum aestivum (bread wheat). RNAcentral's name for it is "partial small subunit ribosomal RNA". The record is from RNAcentral. Lineage: Eukaryota; Viridiplantae; Streptophyta; Magnoliopsida; Poales; Poaceae.
AUGGAGAUCAUCAUCUUCUACCUGGUCCCCAAGGUUCUGAAGAAAGCCUUCGACACGACGAUGGUAAGGGAGGUGGAUAUGAAAAAAUACGAGCUAUGGAAUCUCCCAAAUGAGAAGUUACUGAUCUUCUACAAGGGCAGGGCCCCUAGGGGGAGGAAGACAAACUGGAUGAUGCAUGAGUACAUAAUCGAGAUCGACAAGCAGCCGACACCCAACUUGCGCACCAACAUCGUCGAAGCCGCCACCAAUAAUGUGUCUUCCAAGAAGGUGGUGAUGCCUUCAUAUGCCCCGCCCAGUCUUUCGUCCAUUGGGGCAGAGCGGCAUCGGGGCUUCGUCGAAUCCAGUACAUUGGCUCCUCUCAUGGACUACGACGUGUUGUUGUCACUAGCGCCACUGCCGCUGCUGCCUACAACUUAUGUGUACCAGAUGCGUCCCAUCGGUGCCGGAUCAUCCAUGAUGGGUAGUGUAACGCUCCCAAUUUAUGUGUACAUAUUUUCACAUUAG